This 497-nucleotide ribosomal RNA is filed under the name uncultured bacterium. RNAcentral's name for it is "partial 16S ribosomal RNA". It matches the Rfam family "Bacterial small subunit ribosomal RNA", at positions 29 to 507 of the family's 1533-position model. The record is from RNAcentral.
AAUGAACGCUGGCGGCGUGCCUAAUACAUGCAAGUCGAGCGAACGGACGAGAAGCUUGCUUCUCUGAUGUUAGCGGCGGACGGGUGAGUAACACGUGGAUAACCUACCUAUAAGACUGGGAUAACUUCGGGAAACCGGAGCUAAUACCGGAUAAUAUUUUGAACCGCAUGGUUCAAAAGUGAAAGACGGUCUUGCUGUCACUUAUAGAUGGAUCCGCGCUGCAUUAGCUAGUUGGUAAGGUAACGGCUUACCAAGGCAACGAUGCAUAGCCGACCUGAGAGGGUGAUCGGCCACACUGGAACUGAGACACGGUCCAGACUCCUACGGGAGGCAGCAGUAGGGAAUCUUCCGCAAUGGGCGAAAGCCUGACGGAGCAACGCCGCGUGUGUGAUGAAGGUCUUCGGAUCGUAAAACUCUGUUAUUAGGGAAGAACAUAUGUGUAAGUAAAUGUGCACAUAUUGACGGUACCUAAUCAGAAAGCAACGGCUAACUACGUG